AUUUGCGUCGAAGGUAUACCGACAAGGAGUGCUGGAGCGAAUAGAAGUGAGCAUGCAGGCAUGAGUAGCGAUAAUUAAUGUGAGAAUCAUUAACGCCGUAAACCCAAGGUUUCCUACGCGAUGCUCGUCAUCGUAGGGUUAGUCGGGUCCUAAGCUGAGUCCGAAAGGGGUAAGCGAUGGCAAAUAGGUUAAUAUUCCUAUACCAACAUUAGUGUGCGAUGGAAGGACGCUUAGGGCUAAGGGGGCUAGCGGAUGGAAGUGCUAGUCUAAGGUCGUAGGAGGUUAUACAGGCAAAUCCGUAUAACAAUACUCCGAGAACUGAAAGGCUUUUUGAAGUCUUCGGAUGGAAAGAAGAACCCCUGAUGCCGUCGAGCCAAGAAAAGUUUCUAAGUUUAGCUAAUGUUGCCCGUACCGUAAACCGACACAGGUGGGUGGGAUGAGUAUUCUAAGGCGCGUGGAAGAACUCUCUUUAAGGAACUCUGCAAAAUAGCACCGUAUCUUCGGUAUAAGGUGUGCCUCCCUUUGUAUUAGAAUUCACUUCGAAAGCAAAGAAGGUUACAACAAAGAGUCCCUCCCGACUGUUUACCAAAAACACAGCACUCUGCUAACUCGUAAGAGGAUGUAUAGGGUGUGACGCCUGCCCGGUGCUCGAAGGUUAAUUGAUGGGGUUAGCAUUAGCGAAGCUCUUGAUCGAAGCCCGAGUAAACGGCGGCCGUAACUAUAACGGUCCUAAGGUAGCGAAAUUCCUUGUCGGUUAAAUACCGACCUGCAUGAAUGGCGUAACGAGAUGGGAGCUGUCUCAAAGAGGGAUCCAGUGAAAUUGUAGUGGAGGUGAAAAUUCCUCCUACCCGCGGCAAGACGGAAAGACCCCGUGGACCUUUACUACAGCUUGACACUGCUAUUUGGAUAAGAAUGUGCAGGAUAGGUGGGAGGCUUUGAGUAUAUGACGCCAGUUGUAUAUGAGCCAUUGUUGAGAUACCACUCUUUCUUAUUUGGGUAGCUAACCAGCUUGAGUUAUCCUCAAGUGGGACAAUGUCUGGUGGGUAGUUUGACUGGGGCGGUCGCCUCCCAAAUAAUAACGGAGGCUUACAAAGGUUGGCUCAUAGCGGUUGGAAAUCGCUAGUAGAGUAUAAAGGUAUAAGCCAGCUUAACUGCAAGACAUACAAGUCAAGCAGAGACGAAAGUCGGUCUUAGUGAUCCGGUGGUUCUGUGUGGAAGGGCCAUCGCUCAAAGGAUAAAAGGUACCCCGGGGAUAACAGGCUGAUCUCCCCCAAGAGCUCACAUCGACGGGGAGGUUUGGCACCUCGAUGUCGGCUCAUCGCAUCCUGGGGCUGGAGCAGGUCCCAAGGGUAUGGCUGUUCGCCAUUUAAAGCGGUACGCGAGCUGGGUUCAGAACGUCGUGAGACAGUUCGGUCCCUAUCUGCCGUGGGCGUAAGAAGAUUGAAGAGAUUUGACCCUAGUACGAGAGGACCGGGUUGAACAAACCACUGGUGUAGCUGUUGUUCUGCCAAGAGCAUCGCAGCGUAGCUAAGUUUGGAAAGGAUAAACGCUGAAAGCAUCUAAGCGUGAAGCCAACUCUAAGAUGAAUCUUCUCUAAGCUCUCUAGAAGACUACUAGUUUGAUAGGCUGGGUGUGUAAUGGAUGAAAGUCCUUUAGCUGACCAGUACUAAUAGAGCGUUUGGCUUA
RNAcentral lists this ribosomal RNA (1686 nucleotides) under Campylobacter upsaliensis. RNAcentral's name for it is "partial 23S ribosomal RNA". It matches the Rfam family "Bacterial large subunit ribosomal RNA", at positions 1243 to 2925 of the family's 2925-position model. The record is from RNAcentral. Lineage: Bacteria; Pseudomonadati; Campylobacterota; Epsilonproteobacteria; Campylobacterales; Campylobacteraceae.